Molecule: ribosomal RNA, 450 nt
Filed under: uncultured bacterium
Lineage: Bacteria
Description: partial 16S ribosomal RNA
Rfam family: Bacterial small subunit ribosomal RNA
Source: RNAcentral
GUGGGGAAUAUUGGACAAUGGGCGAAAGCCUGAUCCAGCCAUGCCGCGUGUGUGAAGAAGGUCUUCGGAUUGUAAAGCACUUUAAGUUGGGAGGAAGGGCAGUAAGUUAAUACCUUGCUGUUUUGACGUUACCGACAGAAUAAGCACCGGCUAACUUCGUGCCAGCAGCCGCGGUAAUACGAAGGGUGCAAGCGUUAAUCGGAAUUACUGGGCGUAAAGCGCGCGUAGGUGGUUUUGUAAGUUGGAGGUGAAAUCCCCGGGCUCAACCUGGGAACUGCCUCCAAAACUGCAUGGCUAGAGUACGGUAGAGGGUAGUGGAAUUUCCUGUGUAGCGGUGAAAUGCGUAGAUAUAGGAAGGAACACCAGUGGCGAAGGCGACUACCUGGACUGAUACUGACACUGAGGUGCGAAAGCGUGGGGAGCAAACAGGAUUAGAUACCCUUGUAGUCC